This 22-nucleotide small RNA is filed under the name Arabidopsis thaliana (thale cress). RNAcentral describes it as "ATSL242820". The record is from RNAcentral. Lineage: Eukaryota; Viridiplantae; Streptophyta; Magnoliopsida; Brassicales; Brassicaceae.
AAAAAAAAAAACCAAAAAAAGA